RNAcentral lists this transfer RNA (72 nucleotides) under Neoakkermansia glycaniphila. RNAcentral's name for it is "Akkermansia glycaniphila tRNA". It matches the Rfam family "tRNA". From Rfam's summary of the family: Transfer RNA (tRNA) molecules are approximately 80 nucleotides in length. Their secondary structure includes four short double-helical elements and three loops (D, anti-codon, and T loops). The record is from Rfam by way of RNAcentral. Lineage: Bacteria; Pseudomonadati; Verrucomicrobiota; Verrucomicrobiia; Verrucomicrobiales; Akkermansiaceae.
GGCCCUAUAGUUAAAUGGAUAUAACGAGCGUUUCCUAAACGCUAAUUGCAGGUUCGAUUCCUGCUGGGGCUA